AAGGAGUCUAACAUGCUUGCGAGUGUUUGGGUGUCAAACCCGGACGCGCAAUGAAAGUGAAUGGAGGUGGGAUCCGCAAGGUGCACCAUCGACCGAUCUGGAUUUUCUAAGAUGGAUUUGAGUAAGAGCAAUUAUGUUGGGACCCGAAAGAUGGUGAACUAUGCCUGAAUAGGGCGAAGCCAGAGGAAACUCUGGUGGAGGCUCGUAGCGGUUCUGACGUGCAAAUCGAUCGUCAAAUUUGGGUAUAGGGGCGAAAGACUAAUCGAACCAUCUAGUAGCUGGUUCCUGC
Molecule: unclassified non-coding RNA, 289 nt
Filed under: uncultured fungus
Lineage: Eukaryota; Fungi
Description: partial contains 5.8S rRNA, ITS2 and 28S rRNA
Rfam family: Eukaryotic large subunit ribosomal RNA
Source: RNAcentral